Molecule: non-coding RNA, 140 nt
Filed under: pig gut metagenome
Description: RT-14 RNA
Rfam family: RT-14 RNA
About the family: Cloacimonetes, Firmicutes, Proteobacteria.
Source: RNAcentral
CUCUAAUACAAGUCCUAGAUUAUAUGUUUUAAGAAAUAUAUACAAUGAGGUAUUAGUAUUAAAGAGAUUUGUUCCUUCCAUAAAAGGUAAAAAAGAAUCAGUAAAAUAUGUAUUAGUAAAUAUAGUUGAAUAUAUGUAUU